GCGAAUACCGGAGAAUGUUAUCACGGGAGACACACGGCGGGUGCUAACGUCCGUCGUGAAGAGGGAAACAACCCAGACCGCCAGCUAAGGUCCCAAAGUCAUGGUUAAGUGGGAAACGAUGUGGGAAGGCCCAGACAGCCAGGAUGUUGGCUUAGAAGCAGCCAUCAUUUAAAGAAAGCGUAAUAGCUCACUGGUCGAGUCGGCCUGCGCGGAAGAUGUAACGGGGCUAAACCAUGCACCGAAGCUGCG
This 249-nucleotide ribosomal RNA is filed under the name Salmonella enterica subsp. enterica. RNAcentral describes it as "partial 23S ribosomal RNA". It matches the Rfam family "Bacterial large subunit ribosomal RNA", at positions 956 to 1204 of the family's 2925-position model. Lineage: Bacteria; Pseudomonadati; Pseudomonadota; Gammaproteobacteria; Enterobacterales; Enterobacteriaceae. The record is from RNAcentral.